Molecule: RNA transcript, 1771 nt
Organism: Solanum lycopersicum (tomato)
Lineage: Eukaryota; Viridiplantae; Streptophyta; Magnoliopsida; Solanales; Solanaceae
Gene name: mitochondrial fission protein ELM1-like
Source: RefSeq, a predicted model, not a curated record
AACACACUUUCUUAUACGAGAUGAUUUUGGCACCUUUGUGUUUUAACAUUUCUGGAAUUGUUGAGCCGAAACCCGCACAUUGUGGGGAGAAAAUCCCUGAAACCCUUUCGAAUUCGAGUAAUAGAUCUCCAUGAUCGAAAAUGCGAACCAUUAGCAGAGUAUUUAUAAUAGGAAAUGGCGUCGCCGGUGCAGAAAAUCAGUGCUUCGGUUUGGUUCGAGCUUUGGGCUUAUCGCAUCGACAAACACUAUUUCGAGUUAUUAGGCCAAAAGGAGGUAUUAACAAGCGACUUCAGUGGUUGCCUGUUUCUCUCCAUAAAAGGUUAGAAAAUGUCAGGAGGUUGAUUUAUGGAGAUCCACUUCCAACUCAAAUAGCAGUCAGAGGACAUAAAUUGUUGUCUCUUGCUGCCGAAAGACAGGUUUCUUCAGAUAUCCUAGAAGCUAAUGCAAAAUAUAUUGCAGCACUAUCCUGUGAAGCAUUUGCCAAGGAUGGUCCAUCAUUAGUAGUCGCAUCAGGUCGUGAUACUAUCUCCAUUUCAAGCUCAAUAAAACAGUUAGCUCCAGAAUAUGUUUUCACUGUGCAGAUUCAACAUCCCAGAUCACGUCUAAAUAGGUUUGACCUAGUGAUCACACCUCGUCAUGAUUAUUAUCCUUUGACACCUGAGGGACAAAAACAAAUUCCUUGGUUUCUUCGAAGGUGGAUAACCCCUCGCACAUCUCCUGAGAGACACGUGAUACUGACUGUUGGAGCCCUUCAUCAAGCUGAUUCUAAUGCGCUGAAGGAUGCAGCUGACACUUGGCACGAUGAGUUAGCAACUAUACCAAAACCUUUGCUUGUGGUUAAUGUUGGAGGGCCUACAGGUCAUUGUAGAUAUGGUACAGACCUAGCAGUGGAGCUAACAGCCUUGCUUCUGAAUAUUGUUCCAACCUGUGGGAGCAUCAGAGUAUCUUUUUCUCGUAGAACUCCUAGUAAGGUCUCAGACAUCAUAUGGAAAGAGCUUGGAAAUCAUCCUAAAGUUCACAUUUGGAACGGUCAAGGUCCAAAUCCACAUAUGGGACAUUUGGCUUUUGCAGAUGCUUUUGUUAUUACUGCUGACUCAGUUAGUAUGUUAAGCGAGGCUUGCAGUACGGGGAAACCUGUUUAUGUAAUUGGUGCUGAGCGAUGUACGUGGAAAUUCAGAGACUUCCAUCAAUCCUUGAAAAAUCGAGGAGUGGUUCGUCCAUUCCUUGGAAAAGAAGAUAUAUCUGAAAGUUGGAGCUAUAGUCCCCUGAAUGAUACUAAGGAGGCUGCUGCGCAUGUGAUUACCGCACUAGCCGAACGAGGAUGGCGAUUGCCAUCAUAAUUUCUACUCUACUAAAGUAGUAGUAGUAAAUUGAUCCAGGUAUGUCGAGGGUCUACUGGAAACAACCUCACAAAGAUGUGACUGUUUAAACUGGAUAAAUGACAACUCCCUAUGAUUUCGAGAAGAUUUGAGAAAUAUAAUUUCUUUUGAUAGCUAAUUAAUUGUUGUACUCCCAAAAAGGAACUUGUAUAGGCUACUUUAGAUUGUUAGAUCAAUCUCUUUUGUUCGUUAGAGGCAAGCUGGUUCAUGUCCCCCUUUAAUCUUUUGUAAGUAUUUCUACUUAAUUAUGUUUUACAUGGUAAGGGUCUAGCCAAACCCCCCACAAUCCUAGACUCACAACCUAUUGGUGAUGGCUUCGUUAAAAAAAUAAUAAUCUUUGUAUAAGAAAAAUAUUUUUUAGAAUGAAGAAAAACUUUUAUAUCUUGUUGUCA